RNAcentral lists this ribosomal RNA (2001 nucleotides) under Paenibacillus sp. HGH0039. Its description in RNAcentral is "bacterial LSU rRNA". It matches the Rfam family "Bacterial large subunit ribosomal RNA", at positions 921 to 2925 of the family's 2925-position model. Lineage: Bacteria; Bacillati; Bacillota; Bacilli; Caryophanales; Paenibacillaceae. The record is from RNAcentral.
CGGGGCCCGCCAAGGGUUACCAAGUCCAGUCAAACUCUGAAUGCCACAGACAUUACCCCGGGAGUCAGACAGUGAGUGCUAAGAUCCAUUGUCAAGAGGGAAACAGCCCAGAUCAUCAGCUAAGGUCCCCAAGUGUGUGUUAAGUGGGAAAGGAUGUGGAGUUGCACAGACAACCAGGAUGUUGGCUUAGAAGCAGCCACCAUUUAAAGAGUGCGUAAUAGCUCACUGGUCGAGUGACUCUGCGCCGAAAAUGUAACGGGGCUAAACACACCACCGAAGCUAUGACUUGCACCUAGCGUGCAUGGGUAGGGGAGCGUUCUGUACGGAGUGAAGGUAGAUCGUGAGGACUGCUGGACUGUACAGAAGUGAGAAUGCCGGUAUGAGUAACGAAAAGAUCAGUGAGAAUCUGAUCCGCCGAAAGCCUAAGGGUUCCUGAGGAAGGUUCGUCCGCUCAGGGUAAGUCGGGACCUAAGGCGAGGCCGAAAGGCGUAGUCGAAGGACAACAGGUUGAAAUUCCUGUACCACCGUAAGCCGUUACGAGCAAUGGAGUGACGCAGCAGGGUAGGGACGCGGACUGAUGGAUGUCCGUCCAAGCAGUGAGGCUGAUGUGUAGGCAAAUCCGCACAUCGUGAAGGCUGGGCUGUGAUGGGGAGCGAAAAUUACAGUAGCGAAGGUCUUAAUCUCACACUGCCGAGAAAAGCUUCUAGCCAGGCGAAGGUGCCCGUACCGCAAACCGACACAGGUGGGCGAGAAGAGAAUUCUAAGGCGCGCGGAAGAACUCUCGUUAAGGAACUCGGCAAAAUGACCCCGUAACUUCGGGAGAAGGGGUGCCCCGGUAGUGUGAAUAGCACGAGGGGGCCGCAGUGAAAAGGCCCAAGCGACUGUUUAGCAAAAACACAGGUCUAUGCGAAGCCGCAAGGCGAAGUAUAUGGGCUGACGCCUGCCCGGUGCUGGAAGGUUAAGGGGAGCGGUUAGGAGCAAUCCGAAGCUGUGAACCGAAGCCCCAGUAAACGGCGGCCGUAACUAUAACGGUCCUAAGGUAGCGAAAUUCCUUGUCAGGUAAAUUCUGACCCGCACGAAUGGCGUAACGACUUGGGCGCUGUCUCAACGAGAGAUCCGGUGAAAUUUUAAUACCUGUGAAGAUGCAGGUUACCCGCGACAAGACGGAAAGACCCCAUGGAGCUUUACUGCAGCUUGAUAUUGGACUUUGGUACGAUCUGUACAGGAUAGGUGGGAGCCUUUGAAGCCUGAGCGCCAGCUUGGGUGGAGGCGCCGUUGGGAUACCACCCUGAUCGUAUCGGAGUUCUAACCUACUACCGUGAUCCGGUAGAGGGACCGUGUCAGGUGGGCAGUUUGACUGGGGCGGUCGCCUCCUAAAGAGUAACGGAGGCGCCCCAAGGUUCCCUCAGAAUGGUUGGAAAUCAUUCGAAGAGUGCAAAGGCAUAAGGGAGCUUGACUGCGAGACAUACAGGUCGAGCAGGGACGAAAGUCGGGCUUAGUGAUCCGGUGGUACCGCAUGGAAGGGCCAUCGCUCAACGGAUAAAAGCUACCCUGGGGAUAACAGGCUUAUCUCCCCCAAGAGUCCACAUCGACGGGGAGGUUUGGCACCUCGAUGUCGGCUCAUCGCAUCCUGGGGCUGAAGUAGGUCCCAAGGGUUGGGCUGUUCGCCCAUUAAAGCGGUACGCGAGCUGGGUUCAGAACGUCGUGAGACAGUUCGGUCCCUAUCUGUCGCGGGCGCAGGAAAUUUGAGAGGAGCUGUCCUUAGUACGAGAGGACCGGGAUGGACGUACCGCUGGUGUACCAGUUGUCUCGCCAGAGGCAUCGCUGGGUAGCUAUGUACGGAAGGGAUAAGCGCUGAAAGCAUCUAAGCGUGAAGCCCCCCUCAAGAUGAGAUUUCCCAAUUAGUAAGACCCCUUGAAGACGACGAGGUAGAUAGGUUGGAGGUGGAAGCACAGCAAUGUGUGGAGCUGACCAAUACUAAUCGGUCGAGGGCUUGACCUA